Molecule: long non-coding RNA, 1616 nt
Organism: Oncorhynchus tshawytscha (Chinook salmon)
Lineage: Eukaryota; Metazoa; Chordata; Actinopteri; Salmoniformes; Salmonidae
Source: Ensembl
UUGGAACCCUGUUCCUGGUGUGCUCUGCACUACACAGGGUGUGGUUUGGAACCCUGUUCCUGGUGUAGUGCACUACACAGGGUGUGGUUUGGAACCCUGUUCCUGGUGUAGUGCACUACACAGGGUGUGGUUUGGAACCCUGUUCCCGAUGUGGUGCACUACACAGGGUGUGGUUUGGAACCCUGUUCCCGGUGUAGUGCACUACACAGGGUGUGGUUUGGAACCCUGUUCCCGGUGUAGUGCUCUACACUACACAGGGUGUGGUUUGGAACCCUGUUCCCGGUGUAGUGCUCUACACUACACAGGGUGUGGGUUGGAACCCUGUUCCCGGUGUAGUGCUCUACACUACACAGGGUGUGGGUUGGAACCCUGUUCCCGGUGUAGUGCUCUACACUACACAGGGUGUGGGUUGGAACCCUGUUCCCGGUGUAGUGCUCUACACUACACAGGGUGUGGUUUGGAACCCUGUUCCCGGUGUAGUGCUCUACACUACACAGGGUGUGGUUUGGAACCCUGUUCCCGGUGUAGUGCUCUACACUACACAGGGUGUGGUUUGGAACCCUGUUCCCGGUGUAGUGCUCUACACUACACAGGGUGUGGUUUGGAACCCUGUUCCCGGUGUAGUGCUCUACACUACACAGGGUGUGGUUUGGAACCCUGUUCCCGGUGUAGUGCUCUACACUACACAGGGUGUGGUUUGGAACCCUGUUCCCGGUGUAGUGCUCUACACUACACAGCCUCUGUUUAUUUAAGUGGUACUUCUGUUCUGUUGGACAACAGGCUGUAUUUUGAUGUGUGUUUUGGCUGUUGUGUGUUUCUUCCAUUGGGAGGUGCAGUUUGAGACGUCUGCCUGUCGAACAGGGGUUCGACCUUCCUCUGUGGAAGCUGGUAUGGGUGCAGGCUUUAGCUCCCGCCCUGCAGUAAAACCUGUUUCAACUAAUCAUUUUUUAACGUUGAUUUAAUUAUAGUUAAGUCAAAUUCUAGUUAUCAAUAAAGAACAGCUGAUUCAACUGAUCCAAUUAGUCUUGGUCAUCAAUAAAGACUUUAUUAGUGGAGUCUGAUGUGUUACACCCACCGUGGUUCUGACAGGUUCUGGCCCCUGGAGCAGAGAACAGACACCCACCGUGGCCCGGACAGGUUCUGACCCCUGGAGCAGAGAACAGACACCCACCGUGGCCCUGACAGGUUCUGACCCCUGGAACAGAGAACAGAGACACCCACCGUGGCCCUGACAGGUUCUGACCCCUGGAGCAGAGAACAGAGACCCACCGUGGCCCUGACAGGUUCUGACCCCUGGAGCAGAGAACAGACAGGUUCUGACCCCUGGACCAGAGAACAGACACCCCCAGUGAAAGCAGCAUCUAUGUGGGGGAAGUGAUCAGAACCCUGGUCAGGAUAGUGAACGGUGGACCAGUCAAUCUUCAUUUCAUUUGCAUCUCCAUAUACCUUCUCUUCUCGUCAAUAGAGAUGAUUCAUAUGUUGAAAUGUAUAUCAAGAUAUUGUUUAUUUCACUUUUCUUUCAUCCUGGUUCCAUCAAUCGUCCAAUCAUCAAGCCCUUUUGAUAAGUUGAUUGAGGUGUGUUAGGCUGGCACAAAACCCUGCACACCCUGUGUGUU